This 253-nucleotide ribosomal RNA is filed under the name uncultured bacterium. RNAcentral describes it as "partial 16S ribosomal RNA". It matches the Rfam family "Bacterial small subunit ribosomal RNA", at positions 524 to 776 of the family's 1533-position model. The record is from RNAcentral.
UACGAAGGGGGCGAGCGUUGUUCGGAAUUACUGGGCGUAAAGGGCGCGUAGGCGGUGUGCCAAGUCAGGCGUGAAAGCCCCGGGCUCAACCUGGGAACGGCGCUUGAGACUGGCAGGCUCGAGUUCGGGAGAGGAUGGUGGAAUUCCCAGUGUAGAGGUGAAAUUCGUAGAUAUUGGGAAGAACACCGAUGGCGAAGGCAGCCAUCUGGACCGACACUGACGCUGAGGCGCGAAAGCGUGGGGAGCAAACAGG